Molecule: long non-coding RNA, 348 nt
Filed under: Anser brachyrhynchus (Pink-footed goose)
Lineage: Eukaryota; Metazoa; Chordata; Aves; Anseriformes; Anatidae
Description: lncRNA (ENSABRG00000008593.1)
Source: RNAcentral
GCUGCUGAACAAAAAAGAUUCCAAGAGGUGGUAAACUGGAUGCAGGUAGCCUUGCACCUAUCAGUUCCUCCUCUUGGACAGGGAUGGAAUAGGCAGCAUGCAGCCUUGCCCAGGACACCCAGCCCUGUCUACCCAUUCUGGAAUGAGCAGGGCCAUUAUGUGGUCACUGCUUUAUGGCCACCUGUGAUGCUUAGGUACUGGCAAGGCCAGGAAGGGUGGCUCACCCCCAGUGAUGGUACAGAACAAAGCAUCAUCUGGAGUACUGUGCCAAAUUUGGUGCACCACAUUUCAAAGAAGAUUGGAAUAAAUCCAAAAGAAAGUAGAAUUGGUCAGCAGCAGUGUCCUUGA